GCUAAGACUGGAUAGGAAGAAAUAAGGCAUCUUUUUUCUUUUAAAAGACCUAGUGAUAGGUAUACUUUAGGAGGGGCUUGCGCCAUAUUAGUUAGUUGGUAGGGUAAUGGCCUACCAAGACGAUGAUGUGUAGCUGGACUGAGAGGUUGAACAGCCACAUUGGGACUGAGACACGGCCCAAACUCCUACGGGAGGCAGCAGUAGGGAAUUUUCGGCAAUGGAGGAAACUCUGACCGAGCAACGCCGCGUGAACGACGAAGUACUUUGGUAUGUAAAGUUCUUUUAUCAAGGAAGAAAAGCAAGUGGUGAACCAUUUGUUUGCCGGUACUUGAUGAAUAAGCCCCGGCUAAUUAUGUGCCAGCAGCCGCGGUAAGACAUAAGGGGCAAGUGUUAUCCGGAAUUAUUGGGCGUAAAGGGUGCGUAGGCGGUCUAGUAAGUCAGUGGUGUAAUGGCAACGCUCAACGUUGUCCGGCUAUUGAAACUGCUAAACUUGAGUUAGAUAGAGGCGAGUGGAAUUCCAUGUGUAGCGGUAAAAUGCGUAAAUAUAUGGGAGGAACACCAAGAGGCGUAGGCGGCUCGCUGGGUCUUUACUGACGCUGAGGCACGAAAGCGUGGGGAGCAAACAGGGAUUAGAUACCCUGGUAGUCCACGCCGUAAACGAUGAGUACUAAGUGUCGGGUUAAACCGGUACUGAAGUUAACACAUUAAAGUACUCCGCCCUGAGUAGUACGUACGCAAGUAUGAAACUUAAAGGAAUUGACGGGACUCCGCACAAGCGGUGGAUCAUGUUGUUUAAUUCGAAGAUACCCGAAAAACCUUACCAGGUCUUGACAUGUUUUUGCGAAACGGUAGUAAUAUCGUGGAGGUUAUCAGAAACACAGGUGGUGCAUGGUUGUCGUCAGCUCGUGUCGUGAGAUGUUAGGUUAAGUCCUAAAACGAGCGAAACCCUUAGUCGUUAGUUGCCAGCACGUUAUGGUGGGGACUUUAACGAGACUGCCAGUGAUAAAUUGGAGGAAGGUGAGGAUCACGUCAAAUCAGCAUGCCCCUUAUGACCUGGGCUACAAACGUGAUACAAUGGCUGUUACAAAGGGUAGCUGAAACGCAAGUUCUUGGCCAAUCCCCAAAAACAGUCUCAGUCCGGAUUGAAGUCUGCAACUCGACUUCAUGAAGUUGGAAUCGCUAGUAAUCGCGAAUCAGCAUGUCGCGGUGAAUACGUUCUCGGGGUUUGUACACACCGCCCGUCA
This 1244-nucleotide ribosomal RNA is filed under the name Candidatus Phytoplasma citri. Its description in RNAcentral is "bacterial SSU rRNA". It matches the Rfam family "Bacterial small subunit ribosomal RNA", at positions 162 to 1399 of the family's 1533-position model. Lineage: Bacteria; Bacillati; Mycoplasmatota; Mollicutes; Acholeplasmatales; Acholeplasmataceae. The record is from RNAcentral.